This 1097-nucleotide long non-coding RNA is filed under the name Populus tremula. RNAcentral's name for it is "long non-coding RNA (PTRE_LNC002550)". Lineage: Eukaryota; Viridiplantae; Streptophyta; Magnoliopsida; Malpighiales; Salicaceae. The record is from RNAcentral.
UCUCAUCGGCCUUUUUAUCGCCGCCACCAGCAGCGGCACCAUCGUCUUUCUUAGGUUGGGGAGAGAGACUCUCGACUUUCCUCUUGGUUCUCUCUUUAAGCCUGGCUUUGAUUUUUGCUGGGUCCGCUUUCCCCGUCACCGUUAGUUUCUUCUCUUCCUCCUUUUUCGGAGGAACCACCUCCACCGCUAUCCUUAGUUCCUCUUUUAGGCACGGUGCCAAGUCCUUCACGUCCAUUGUUCCCUUUACAGUGACCAGAUACUUCGCCGCGUCCACAGUCACGCUGCCCACACCUGUUUUUAAUUAGCCACGUCAGCCAUCUAUUUUUUACUAUUUUGCCACCGACUUUGAAUAUUUAGAUUUAAUAUGUUAGUUUGAUCUAAUAAUCAAAUGUAUAAUUAACUAAUUACCUUCGAUUUUGGAGAUGAUUUUCUCUACUUUUGAAAUGCAACCUUCACAGUUUUCACAGUGUAGCCUGAUUUUCAAACGACGGUACUCUGCAACCACCAGGAGUUAUUAAAAAUUAGAAAAAUAAUAACAAUAGAAAACAAGAGGAUAAUCAACGUCUAUAUUCACGAUUAAAUCUUAGUAGCAGUAAUUUACUUAUUUAUUUACCUCUGGAGGUGGUUUUUUCGCUUCUUCCUUCUUCCCCUCCGAUUUCUUAUCGGCCUUUUUAUCGCCACCAGCAGCGACACCAUCGUCUUUCUUAGGUUGGGGAGAGAGAAUCUCGACUUUCCUCUUGGUCUUCUCUUCAAGCGUGGCUUUGAUUUUUGCUGGGUCCACUUUCCCCGUCACCGUUAGUUUGUUGCCGGCACAAUCUGUCUUCAUACCUUCCACGCCUGAAUAAACCCACAAAAACAUCGUCUUAGCAACCGGAAAAUCAAACUCAGAUACAUUAAUUCUUAGAUUGCUAAAUGUUAGUUGCUAUAAAUAAAUAAAAAUCACCUUCUAAAUGUUUAAUGGCGUGUCUAAUUUCCUUGGCACAGCCUUCACAAUACAUGCCCAGCUUGUAAACGGAAAUAACUUUGGCCUCAUCUUUCUUUUCACCUGCAUCAGCAGCGGGCUUCUUCUCGGCUUCAGCUUUCGCACCCUCUUUCUG